UUUCGCAAUGCCCGAAAGGGUGACGAAGCGACGCCGCGUGAGUGAGGAAGGCCUUCGGGUUGUAAAGCUCUGUCAGGAGUUAAGAAAUAUAAGUGUGCUAAUACCACAUUUAUUUGACGAAGGCUCCAAAGGAAGCCACGGCUAACUCUGUGCCAGCAGCCGCGGUAAUACAGAGGUGGCAAGCGUUGUUCGGAAUUAUUGGGCGUAAAGAGCACGUAGGUGGGUUUGUAAGUCAGAUGUGAAAGCCUUCUGUUCAACGGAAGAAUUGCAUCUGAAACUGCGAGUCUUGAGUGUAGGAGGGGAGAGAGGAACUUCUGGUGGAGCGGUGAAAUGCGUAGAUAUCAGAAGGAACGCCGGCGGCGAAAGCGACUCUCUGGCCUAUUACUGACACUCAGUGUGCGAAAGCUAGGGGAGCAAACGGGAUUAGAUACCCCGGUAGUCCUAGCCGUAAACGAUGGGCACUAAGUAGAGGGGUUUU
RNAcentral lists this ribosomal RNA (478 nucleotides) under uncultured anaerobic ammonium-oxidizing bacterium. RNAcentral describes it as "bacterial SSU rRNA". It matches the Rfam family "Bacterial small subunit ribosomal RNA", at positions 364 to 832 of the family's 1533-position model. The record is from RNAcentral.